Long non-coding RNA from Cygnus olor (mute swan), 2221 nucleotides. RefSeq lists it as uncharacterized. The record is from RefSeq and is a predicted model, not a curated record. The transcript is spliced from 3 exons. Lineage: Eukaryota; Metazoa; Chordata; Aves; Anseriformes; Anatidae.
CUGGACUAGAUUUCUGAGAUGGGACCUGGAUACAACUUUCAGCAAAGCUGGGGUCGCUUGUGGAAACGUGGUUGGAAGAGUGCCCUAAAAAGAAAAAAAUCCACUUCAAGAAAAGUCUCAACCAACAGUUGAGAGCCAGCUACAUCAGUGGACUAAGUGUAUCAAGAAAACCCCUUCACGGUGACUUGUCACGUUUCAAUGAGGAGCUCUGAAUGGACUGAGUUAAGAAAUGGUCCUCCAUGCUUCAAAAGUUAAGGUAUGUAUGUGCUCCUUCACUAAAUCACCUACUUAUACUUUUUCAGUCCAGAGUCUGGAGAGUUGGUGCUUACAUUGUAAAGCAUGUGUUUAAACAAACAAGCUUGUUUAAACAAACAGUACCUUAAGAGGGACCCAUAAGGUUAUUUAAUUGAGAAGUGCAAUCUCUACAUUUUAUAUGCAGUCUUCUUUCUAAAGCUGAGCAGUACAUAAUUUCUAGCAAUUGGUUUAAAAAAAAUUACACAAGUCAGUCAAGAAAAUAUAAACACCAACAGUUUCCACUCUAACUUGUAACUGUUGGUCCAAUACUGCAUCCUUAAAGAUUUAAGGAUCUAAAUUUACCAUAAAUAAAAUCAACCUAAAUUUGCAAAAGAAAAUGGACACUAAGCAAUAAUGAAGCAUUCUGUAUCUCUCAUGCUUGUUUGCUACUCAUUUGCACAAUUUAUGUUCCUCAAAAUGGGUUUCCAGUUACUCUGCUUGCCUGGCCUAGUUAUGCAUAGAUUAUGACACUUACAGAGAGAUCGAGUGCUUUGAGUGCACCGAUUGAGCACUUUGAGUGCUUCUGAAGGUGUUAUAGUUUGUGUUAUUCAAAAGAAACUUGGUUAGUUCAAAAUACAAUUAUAGCUAGUAAUCACUACAGUGUUGAUACAAGCCAGGGCAACUCAAAGGUUUGAGAGUACAUUAGGAAAUACAACACUAUCCACUGUAAGGCAAAGGGGAGAAUUUUUAAUCAUUCAUGUGUGCUCACAUUAACCAAUAUUAAUUACCCUAAAGGAUACGUUUAAACUGAAAAUUGUCAAAUGUACCUGUUAACAGUAGGGUAUUUAUCCAGUGAGGAAUGGAUAUGUGAAUAUAUCAGGAAAAUCUUGAGAAGAAAUGCUGAAACUGAGUUACAUAAAGCAUCCUCAAUACAAUUUUCAUACUGAUUUGUUUCACUAAUUACUGUUGCUAUACCACAAGUAUUCCUCUAUUUAGAUACUAAGAAGCAAUUGCAUAUAUCUUUGUUCAUGACCUAUGGCUGAUCACAGACUUUUGUUACCAUUUCCUGCUCAACGCUCCAACACUAGCAAGUAUUUAAGUCAAGCCAGUUUCAUAAUAAACCAAAUUCUGGUUUGCACAAUAGACUGAACAAGUCCCAGAAUGUUUCACUUAAUGGAUAUGGAUGCAAUUUGCUAUGAAGCAUUUCUGAAUACCUGUACAAAUUUUGGACAAAUUUUAUGAAGGCAACAAUCCUAAUAAGCAGCUUAUACACUUCUUGUUAAGACACGGGAAAGGAGGGGUGGGGAAAAGACCUACUUACCACUUUUGGGAGGGGAAAAAAAUAUAGCUACCUUAAAUCUACAACCUAUUUUUGUUCACCUUGUUCACAUAUCUUUAACAAAUCUCAGAAGCAAUUCACAGGAGGAGGGGCACAUUUUUGCACUACAAGUCAUCCACUCUACCUAGCUGUUCCUUAUUUGACAAUGUGAUGUAAUUUCCUUUUUUUUUUUUUCCUUUGACUUUCUGGUUAACGUAAGUACCUGAAAUAGAGUCCCCUUUUAAUAUUUAAGUAUUUCAGACUUCCAACUGGACAUUUAAAAGCCUGAAUUACCUUACUAUACUUUCUGGAGUUCCAUAUACCUAAAAACGAACAAACAAAACAAAGGGAGGGGGGAGGGUGGAAGUCACCACCACCACCACCAAAACCCAAAACUAACAAAAACAACAAAACACAACCCCCCCCCCCAAACAAACAAAGAACCCCCACAACAAUAAGCCCUUUGUUCUCUAGUGGUCAUAUCAACCCUUAAGUACUUUUGUCUUUGAAACCAGAUAAAUGCUCAGUGACUGACAACUAGCAAGAACGAUCUUACAAGAAGGUUGUUUUAAAACUAUUCAUUUAAUGCCUUGAUCUUAUUUACUAGGCAUCUAAGCUCCACUGUGCAAUUUCACAAAGUAAACUGUGUCCCAGAAAUAAUAAAAAUAA